RNAcentral lists this ribosomal RNA (459 nucleotides) under uncultured bacterium. Its description in RNAcentral is "partial 16S ribosomal RNA". It matches the Rfam family "Bacterial small subunit ribosomal RNA", at positions 338 to 795 of the family's 1533-position model. The record is from RNAcentral.
CCUACGGGUGGCAGCAGUGAGGAAUAUUGGUCAAUGGGCGCGAGCCUGAACCAGCCAAGUCGCGUGAGGGAAGACGGUCCUAUGGAUUGUAAACCUCUUUUGUCGAGGAGCAAAAGACGCCACGCGUGGCGUUCCGAGAGUACCCGAAGAAAAAGCAUCGGCUAACUCCGUGCCAGCAGCCGCGGUAAUACGGAGGAUGCGAGCGUUAUCCGGAUGUAUUGGGUGUAAAGGGUGCGCAGGCGGAAGAUCAAGUCAGCGGUAAAAUUGAGAGGCUCAACCUCUUCGAGCCGUUGAAACUGGUUUUCUUGAGUGAGUGAGAAGUAUGCGGAAUGCGUGGUGUAGCGGUGAAAUGCAUAGAUAUCACGCAGAACUCCGAUUGCGAAGGCAGCAUACCGGCGCUCAACUGACGCUCAUGCACGAAAGUGUGGGUAUCGAACAGGAUUAGAUACCCGGGUAGUC